AACGAACGCUGGCGGCAGGCUUAACACAUGCAAGUCGAGCGCCCCGCAAGGGGAGCGGCAGACGGGUGAGUAACGCGUGGGGAUCUGCCUAGUGGUACGGAACAACACGGGGAAACUCGUGCUAAUACCGUAUAAGUCCUUCGGGAGAAAGAUUUAUCGCCAUUAGAUGAACCCGCGUCUGAUUAGCUAGUUGGUGAGGUAACGGCUCACCAAGGCGACGAUCAGUAGCUGGUCUGAGAGGAAGAUCAGCCACACUGGGACUGAGACACGGCCCAGACUCCUACGGGAGGCAGCCGUGGGGAAUAUUGGACAAUGGGCGCAAGCCUGAUCCAGCCAUGCCGCGUGAGUGAUGAAGGCCUUAGGGUUGUAAAGCUCUUUCGCUGGGGAAGAUAAUGACGGUACCCAGAGAAGAAGCCCCGGCUAACUUCGUGCCAGCAGCCGCGGUAA
RNAcentral lists this ribosomal RNA (447 nucleotides) under uncultured bacterium. RNAcentral describes it as "partial 16S ribosomal RNA". It matches the Rfam family "Bacterial small subunit ribosomal RNA", at positions 29 to 523 of the family's 1533-position model. The record is from RNAcentral.